Triticum aestivum (bread wheat) is the source of this 168-nucleotide non-coding RNA. The record is from Rfam. NCBI's taxonomy places the organism in Eukaryota, Viridiplantae, Streptophyta, Magnoliopsida, Poales, Poaceae.
GCCGGGAAGUGGAAGAAAGAGGGCAUAAGAGCAGUGGGAGUGGGAACAUGGAGGAAAGUCUAACUUGCUUUGUUUCAUCUCUAGUGUUGGAGGUGGGAACUUGCUUGGUGUUUCCCGAUGCCUCUCAUUCCUAUUGUUCUCAAGCACUCCUUCCUCUUCCUUUUUUGG